Molecule: ribosomal RNA, 470 nt
Filed under: uncultured bacterium
Lineage: Bacteria
Description: bacterial SSU rRNA
Rfam family: Bacterial small subunit ribosomal RNA
Source: RNAcentral
UGCAAGUCGAACGCGAAGCGCCUUCGGGUGUGAGUAGAGUGGCGGACGGGUGAGUAACGCGUGGGAAUCUGCCCUGCAGUGGGGGACAACCCGAGGAAACUCGGGCUAAUACCGCAUACGUCCUAUGGGAGAAAGGGGGCCUUCGGGCUCUCGCUGCAGGAUGAGCCCGCGUCCGAUUAGCUUGUUGGUAGGGUAACGGCCUACCAAGGCGACGAUCGGUAGCUGGUCUGAGAGGAUGAUCAGCCACACUGGGACUGAGACACGGCCCAGACUCCUACGGGAGGCAGCAGUGGGGAAUAUUGGACAAUGGGCGAAAGCCUGAUCCAGCAAUGCCGCGUGUGUGAAGAAGGCCUGCGGGUUGUAAAGCACUUUCAGUGGGGAAGAAAAGCGCAAGGUUAAUACCCUUGUGUGUUGACGUUACCCACAGAAGAAGCACCGGCUAACUCCGUGCCAGCAGCCGCGGUAAUACG